AUUAAUCCCAUGGUAUUGCAGGCAUGGUAGGAUGCUAGAUGUCGAAACAGAGACCAAUCCCAUAGAUCGAAUCGUGGCCCAUUUGCUCUUCCAUAGGCAUUUGGAUUUAUCAGAGAAACAUUCUGACGCACCUGAAUCACCUGUUUCUUCUAAGUUGACAUGUGAACACAAAGCAGGUUUAGUGAACGUGUCAAAUGAAUGCUUGCCAGACAGUUUGAAGAACAAACAAUGCUUUCCUCGUGAAGGAUCUACAAAUUAUUGCCCAUUGGGUGGUCCGACACAUGGUGGAGCUAUGAAGGCUGAAGCCUCUCUGUGAACAAAUAUGUGUCACAUAAUUUGAUAAGGCCAACCACGAUCUUCAUCAAGUGUGGUCAUGGAGCUUCCGGCAACACUAUCGAUGGGGAGUAUCCUAUAAUUGAAUACGCUUCAUAAAAAGAUUGCAUGUUUCAAGACAAUGUUCAGUAUAAGUAGUUAUGCAUGUGUCAACUGUCAUAAGAUUGGCUAAAGUGCCUCUUUAAACAUAAACGAGGCCAUACCUUGCUACCUG
Molecule: non-coding RNA, 547 nt
Organism: Prunus avium (sweet cherry)
Lineage: Eukaryota; Viridiplantae; Streptophyta; Magnoliopsida; Rosales; Rosaceae
Source: RefSeq, a predicted model, not a curated record